RNAcentral lists this transfer RNA (67 nucleotides) under Marmota monax (woodchuck). RNAcentral's name for it is "tRNA.Ala". The record is from RNAcentral. Lineage: Eukaryota; Metazoa; Chordata; Mammalia; Rodentia; Sciuridae.
GGAUUGUGGCUCAGUGGCAGAGCGCUCGCCUAGCACGCGCUGGACCCGGGUUCGAUCCUCAGCACCA